This 691-nucleotide ribosomal RNA is filed under the name uncultured bacterium. RNAcentral's name for it is "bacterial SSU rRNA". It matches the Rfam family "Bacterial small subunit ribosomal RNA", at positions 83 to 771 of the family's 1533-position model. The record is from RNAcentral.
UUUUCGGACCUAGCGGCGGACGGGUGAGUAAUGCGUAGGAAGCUGCCCGAUAGAGGGGGAUACCAGUUGGAAACGACUGUUAAUACCGCAUAAUGUCUACGGACCAAAGUGUGGGACCUUCGGGCCACAUGCUAUCGGAUGCGCCUACGUGGGAUUAGCUAGUUGGUGAGGUAAUGGCUCACCAAGGCGACGAUCUCUAGCUGGUUUGAGAGGAUGAUCAGCCACACUGGAACUGAGACACUGUCCAGACUCCUACGGGAGGCAGCAGUGGGGAAUAUUGGACAAUGGGCGCGAGCCUGAUCCAGCCAUGCCGCGUGUGUGAAGAAGGCCUUCGGGUUGUAAAGCACUUUCAGCGAGGAGGAAGGGAUGUAUGUUAAUAGCAUGCAUUUCUGACGUUACUCGCAGAAGAAGCACCGGCUAACUCUGUGCCAGCAGCCGCGGUAAUACAGAGGGUGCAAGCGUUAAUCGGAAUUACUGGGCGUAAAGCGCACGUAGGCGGUUGGUUAAGUUGGAUGUGAAAGCCCCGGGCUCAACCUGGGAAUUGCAUUCAAAACUGGCCAACUAGAGUAUGUGAGAGGGGGGUAGAAUUCCAAGUGUAGCGGUGAAAUGCGUAGAGAUUUGGAGGAAUACCAGUGGCGAAAGCGGCCCCCUGGCACAAUACUGACGCUGAGUGCGAAAGCGUGGGGAGCAA